GACGAACGCUGGCGGCGUGCCUUACGCAUGCAAGUCGAACGGCAGCACGGGUGCUUGCACCUGGUGGCGAGUGGCGAACGGGUGAGUAAUACAUGGGUGAUCUGCCCUGCACUUCGGGAUAAGCCUGGGAAACUGGGUCUAAUACCGGAUAGGACUCCGGACUGCAUGGUCUGGGGUGGAAAGCUUUUGCGGUGUGGGAUGGGCCCGCGGCCUAUCAGCUUGUUGGUGGGGUGAUGGCCUACCAAGGCGACGACGGGUAGCCGGCCUGAGAGGGUGACCGGCCACACUGGGACUGAGAUGCGGCCCAGACUCCUACGGGAGGCAGCAGUGGGGAAUAUUGCACAAUGGGCGCAAGCCUGAUGCAGCGACGCCGCGUGAGGGAUGACGGCCUUCGGGUUGUAAACCUCUUUCAGCAUCGACGAAGCGAAAGUGACGGUAGGUGCAGAAGAAGGACCGGCCAACUACGUGCCAGCCGCCGCCGUAA
RNAcentral lists this ribosomal RNA (484 nucleotides) under uncultured bacterium. RNAcentral describes it as "partial 16S ribosomal RNA". It matches the Rfam family "Bacterial small subunit ribosomal RNA", at positions 28 to 523 of the family's 1533-position model. The record is from RNAcentral.